GAAGAAAAAUAUAUUUCAAACUGUUAUCAACUAAACUAAUUUUUAUUUUCAUCUUUUUAGGAGAUGAAGAGAAAGGAAUUUAGAGAUUAUUUUAAAAAUCAUUGAACAUAUCACAAGUGUGGUGUGACUGCCACCCAAGCCCAAGAAGCCCUCCCAAGUCUCCACAUUCGUCCUUCAGUUAGGGCCCCAGUAUCUGUUCAUGUGUACAGCAAAAUGUCUGGGGAGAGCUGCCGGUAUUUUCUGCUGUCUCCACUUACCUGACUCUGUGUUCUCCCCUGACCCCUUUAUAACCCACUUUCAAGUCCACUCCUCCCUAAAACCAGUCUCAUCAGGAUCACCAGCAUCCUCCAUGGAGCACACCACUUUCUUCCCUUGGCUCUGAUUGCAACCUGUUCCUGGCUUGCCUUCUGCCUCUGAGCACGUCUCCUCUUUCCAAUGUCUGAUGACUAAUAGGCCCUAAGCACAGACCUCUGGCUCCUCUCUUCCCUACAGGCCAUUCCCUGCAGCCAGUCUCCAGGCUGUGGACUCCCAGUUGACACCUCUAGCCUCACUUUCCCCUUCACACACACAGCAGCCUGGCUAACAUCACAUUUGGAUACUCAGUCUGCGUCUCCAGCUUCAGUAUCUACCCAGAACUCCACGCCUCUUCCUUCCCUGCCCCAGUCUUCCCCAUUUCAGUAUGUAGCACCACUGUUUACCCAGUUGCUUGUGCCAGGAUCUAAACAUCAUGCUUGAUUCUCCCUCCUCCUCCAUAUCUAACUCAUCAGCUAGUCAGGUUGACCCUGCCUCCUUCCCAAAUCAAGCCACCCAUCCCCACCAUCUCCCCUGCCCCGAGUCCAGGCCGUGCCUCUUAACCAAUCUGCUUUUAUGGUUGCUCCCACUAACUAUUUUUAAAAACAGCCAUGUCUUACAGAACACCGGCCACACCAUGUCAUUUUCCUCCUUAGGACACUGCUGACUCUCCCACACAAUGAAACCCACAGUCCCUGCCGUGGCCUCUGAUGUCCUGUCUGUCCCAUUCCUCACCUCCCACCCCUGGCACUUGCUGGGUUUCAUCUGGCCCUGCUGGCCUUCUUGCUGGCCUUCAGACAUGCCCAGGCUCCCGUCCACCUGGGAGCCCCGCCUCUCUGUUCUUCCCUCAGGUCCUGUCAAGACCUCCUCUCACUUCUAGCUCUCUUCAGACAUCACCUCCUCAGAGAGGCCUGCCCUGGUCACCCAGUCUAAAUAGUGCCUUUCCAUUCUUAUUCAAUGUCCCCCCGCUGAAAUAUAAACUCUGUGACAGCAGGAACCUUGUUCACCUCAUCUGUCCUGUAUUCCCAGUGCCUGGAAAAUGGAAUUUACUGAUUGGAGGGACAGGUGUGUGGCUACAGUCUGGGGCUCUUUUCACCUGGACUUUCUCACACUUGAUAUUGAAAAUACUUAGAGCCUCACUAGAAAAUGUCAGUAUGUUCAAUAUCCUCUGUUAGGAUGUAACCAUUGUCUCAUUAUUGAGUCAAACAAAACUGUCUUCACAUUAUGAGAGGUGGCAGAGCAGAGGGGAUAAAAGUGUCACCAGAGCAGCUAUGCUGCUUGCUAACUAGGCAACGGGGGGCGAGUUACUUGACCUCUCUGUGCCUCAGUUUCCUCUUCAGUGAAGGAGAGACGUAAAAGUACCAAUACUUUCCUCGUAGAUUUGUUUGGAGAAUUAAAUGAGUUCAUGUAUAUAAUGUUUAAAGAACCUGACAUGAAAUAUUUCACUUAAUGUUUGCUUUAUAGCAAUUUCAUCGCCAUCAUCAUCAUCAUUGAUUUGAGAUGUCCAUUGGGGAAUAACUCUGUGUGAUCAGCCAUAAAAAGGUUGAUAGGUUCUGAUCAUAAAAAGUUUAAGCUUCUUAAAUUGAAGUCUGUAAUGAUUCCCCUUGGAGCACUUAGCUGGAUUAGCCUG
This 1921-nucleotide long non-coding RNA is filed under the name Marmota monax (woodchuck). The record is from RNAcentral. Lineage: Eukaryota; Metazoa; Chordata; Mammalia; Rodentia; Sciuridae.